This 301-nucleotide ribosomal RNA is filed under the name uncultured bacterium. RNAcentral's name for it is "partial 16S ribosomal RNA". It matches the Rfam family "Bacterial small subunit ribosomal RNA", at positions 509 to 807 of the family's 1533-position model. The record is from RNAcentral.
CAGUAGCCGCGGGAAUACGGAGGGGGCUAGCGUUGUUCGGAAUUACUGGGCGUAAAGCGCACGUAAGCGGCUUGGUAAGUUAGAGGUGAAAGCCUGGAGCUCAACUCCAGAAUUGCCUUUAAGACUGCCGAGCUAGCAGGUGAGAGAGGUAAGUGGAAUUCCGAGUGUAGAGGUGAAAUUCGUAGAUAUUCGGAAGAACACCAGUGGCGAAGGCGGCUUACUGGCUCAUACUGGACGCUGAGGUGCGAGAGCGUGGGGAGCAAACAGGAUUAGAGACCCCUGUAGUCCCUGUCUCUUAUAC